GAUGAACGCUCGCGGCAGGCCUAAUACAUGCAAGUCGAACGAGAUUAAGAGGCUUGCUUCUUAUGAAAGUGGCGCACGGGUGCGUAACGCGUAUGCAACCUACCUUAAUCAGGGGGAUAGCCCGAAGAAAUUCGGAUUAAGACCGCAUAAAAACACAGGAUAGCAUUAUCCAAUGUUCAAAUAUUUAUAGGAUUAAGAUGGGCAUGCGUGUCAUUAGCUAGUUGGCGGGGUAACGGCCCACCAAGGCGACGAUGACUAGGGGAUCUGAGAGGAUGACCCCCCACACUGGUACUGAGACACGGACCAGACUCCUACGGGAGGCAGCAGUAAGGAAUAUUGGUCAAUGGAGGGAACUCUGAACCAGCCAUGCCGCGUGCAGGAAGACAGCCCUCUGGGUCGUAAACUGCUUUUAUUCGGGAAUAAACCUUUCUACGUGUAGGAAGCUGAAUGGACCGAAGGAAUAAGGAUCGGCUAACUCCGU
RNAcentral lists this ribosomal RNA (481 nucleotides) under uncultured bacterium. RNAcentral describes it as "partial 16S ribosomal RNA". It matches the Rfam family "Bacterial small subunit ribosomal RNA", at positions 28 to 506 of the family's 1533-position model. The record is from RNAcentral.